This 85-nucleotide transfer RNA is filed under the name Gemmataceae bacterium. RNAcentral describes it as "tRNA-Leu". It matches the Rfam family "tRNA". From Rfam's summary of the family: Transfer RNA (tRNA) molecules are approximately 80 nucleotides in length. Their secondary structure includes four short double-helical elements and three loops (D, anti-codon, and T loops). The record is from RNAcentral. Lineage: Bacteria; Pseudomonadati; Planctomycetota; Planctomycetia; Gemmatales; Gemmataceae.
GGCCGCGUGGUGGAAUGGCAGACACUGGGGACUUAAAAUCCCCUGGGGGGUAACCCUCGUGCGGGUUCGAGUCCCGCUGCGGCCA